Molecule: long non-coding RNA, 119 nt
Organism: Etheostoma cragini (Arkansas darter)
Lineage: Eukaryota; Metazoa; Chordata; Actinopteri; Perciformes; Percidae
Exons: 3
Source: RefSeq, a predicted model, not a curated record
UGUGUCAAACUCAAGGCCCGCGGGCCAAAUCCGGCCCCUUGCAGAUUUUGAUUCGGCUCGCAUGUCAAUUGAGGUUCACGAUAAAUUUAUGGCCCGCCAAGUUUUUCGACAACCCAAAA